GAUGAACGCUAGCGGCAGGCUUAAUACAUGCAAGUCGAGGGGUAACAUGGGGUAGCAAUACUCUGAUGACGACCGGCAAACGGGUGCGGAACACGUACGCAACUUUCCCAAAACUGGUGAAUAGCCCUCCGAAAGGAGGAUUAAUACACCGUAACAUAUAGAGGUGGCAUCGCCUUUAUAUUAUAGCUCCGGCGGUUUUGGAUGGGCGUGCGCCUGAUUAGGUAGUUGGUGUGGUAACGGCUCACCAAGCCUACGAUCAGUAACUGGUGUGAGAGCACGACCAGUCACACGGGCACUGAGACACGGGCCCGACUCCUACGGGAGGCAGCAGUAAGGAAUAUUGGUCAAUGGACGAAAGUCUGAACCAGCCAUGCCGCGUGAAGGAUGAAGGCCCUCUGGGUUGUAAACUUCUUUUAUAGGGGACGAAAAAAGGGAAUUCCUUCCCACUUGACGGUACCCUAGGAAUAAGC
RNAcentral lists this ribosomal RNA (470 nucleotides) under uncultured bacterium. Its description in RNAcentral is "bacterial SSU rRNA". It matches the Rfam family "Bacterial small subunit ribosomal RNA", at positions 28 to 491 of the family's 1533-position model. The record is from RNAcentral.